RNAcentral lists this ribosomal RNA (423 nucleotides) under uncultured bacterium. RNAcentral describes it as "bacterial SSU rRNA". It matches the Rfam family "Bacterial small subunit ribosomal RNA", at positions 207 to 622 of the family's 1533-position model. The record is from RNAcentral.
AAGACCUUGCACUUUUGGAGCGGCCGAUGUCUGAUUAGCUAGUUGGUGGGGUAAUGGCCUACCAAAGCUUCGAUCAGUAGCUGGUCUAAGAGGACGGCCAGCCACACUGGGACUGAGACACGGCCCAGACUCCUACGGGAGGCAGCAGUGGGGAAUUUUGGACAAUGGGCGCAAGCCUGAUCCAGCCAUGCCGCGUGAGUGAAGAAGGCCUUCGGGUUGUAAAGCUCUUUCAGCCGGGAAGAAAAGGUUGCGAUUAAUAAUCGUAAUUUAUGACGGUACCGGAAGAAGAAGCACCGGCUAACUACGUGCCAGCAGCCGCGGUAAUACGUAGGGUGCGAGCGUUAAUCGGAAUUACUGGGCGUAAAGGGUGCGCAGGCGGUUUUGUAAGUCAGAUGUGAAAUCCCCGGGCUUAACCUGGGAACU